Molecule: ribosomal RNA, 375 nt
Filed under: uncultured bacterium
Lineage: Bacteria
Description: bacterial SSU rRNA
Rfam family: Bacterial small subunit ribosomal RNA
Source: RNAcentral
ACGUAGGGCGCGAGCGUUGUCCGGAUUUAUUGGGCGUAAAGAGCUCGUAGGCGGCUUGUCGCGUCGACUGUGAAAACCCGUGGCUCAACCAUGUGGUCUGCAGUCGAUACGGGCAGGCUAGAAUUCGGUAGGGGAGACUGGAAUUCCUGGUGUAGCGGUGAAAUGCGCAGAUAUCAGGAGGAACACCGGUGGCGAAGGCGGGUCUCUGGGCCGAUAUUGACGCUGAGGAGCGAAAGCGUGGGGAGCAAACAGGAUUAGAUACCCUGGUAGUCCACGCUGUAAACGUUGGGCGCUAGGUGUGGGGGGCCUCUCCGGUUCUCUGUGCCGCAGCUAACGCAUUAAGCGCCCCGCCUGGGGAGUACGGCCGCAAGGCUA